This 492-nucleotide ribosomal RNA is filed under the name gamma proteobacterium II-12. RNAcentral describes it as "bacterial SSU rRNA". It matches the Rfam family "Bacterial small subunit ribosomal RNA", at positions 389 to 873 of the family's 1533-position model. The record is from RNAcentral. Lineage: Bacteria; Pseudomonadati; Pseudomonadota; Gammaproteobacteria.
CAGCCAUGCCGCGUGUGUGAAGAAGGCCUUCGGGUUGUAAAGCACUUUCAGUGGGGAAGAAAGCCUAGGGGCUAAUACCCUCGAGGAAGGACAUCACUCGCAGAAGAAGCACCGGCUAACUCCGUGCCAGCAGCCGCGGUAAUACGGAGGGUGCGAGCGUUAAUCGGAAUUACUGGGCGUAAAGCGCGCGUAGGCGGCUUGAUAAGCCGGUUGUGAAAGCCCCGGGCUCAACCUGGGAACGGCAUCCGGAACUGUCAGGCUAGAGUGCAGGAGAGGAAGGUAGAAUUCCCGGUGUAGCGGUGAAAUGCGUAGAGAUCGGGAGGAAUACCAGUGGCGAAGGCGGCCUUCUGGACUGACACUGACGCUGAGGUGCGAAAGCGUGGGUAGCAAACAGGAUUAGAUACCCUGGUAGUCCACGCCGUAAACGAUGUCGACUAGCCGUUGGGCUCCUUGAGAGCUUUGUGGCGCAGUUAACGCGAUAAGUCGACCGCC